CAGUAUCCAUUCUACUAAACGCUAAUAUCAUUUAGGGCUGAUGCCCACAAGCAGCAACAGCAAGAAGAAUCUGGGUCUGCUCAACUUUCGAGUGAAGUGAAAAGUACUUCUUUACUCGCAGAUCAGGAACAAAGGAAGUCUUUGAAAUUUGGGUUUUCUUCUAAAGGUGGCACUUCUAAGAAAUCAUCUGGUGCUACUACAAAGAAGCCAAAAGUAGCCGUUGCCUCAGUUUUCAACAAUGAUAGUGAUGAAGAAAAGUGAGGCCUAUUGUUGUAAACUUGGCAUGACCACUGUAUUCUAUCAGCAGCUCCAAUUGGCUAGCAUUUAUGUUGUACAAGUUAAACUGUACGUGCAGUAGUGUUUUACACUUUGUAACGGAUAGAGUUUGACCAUCUGUUUAUAGGUUUUGCUAUCCAUCCACAUAGAAUAAUCAAAUAUUAACAGACCAUAUAUACUGUUUUGAAAGUUUGAUUUU
Ziziphus jujuba (common jujube) is the source of this 475-nucleotide long non-coding RNA. RefSeq lists it as uncharacterized. Lineage: Eukaryota; Viridiplantae; Streptophyta; Magnoliopsida; Rosales; Rhamnaceae. The record is from RefSeq and is a predicted model, not a curated record. The transcript has 2 exons.